GACGAACGCUGGCGGCGUGCUUAACACAUGCAAGUCGAACGGGAUUUAGUAGACAGAAGCCUCGGCUAAAGAUUACUAAUGAGAGUGGCGAACGGGUGGGUAACGCGUGAGCAACCUGCCUAUGACAGUGGGAUAGCCUCGGGAAACCGGGAUUAAUACCGCAUAAAAUCGUAGAAACACAUGUUUCAACGGUCAAAGAUUUAUCGGUCAUAGAUGGGCUCGCGUCUGAUUAGCUAGUUGGUGAGAUAACAGCCCACCAAGGCGACGAUCAGUAGCCGGUCUGAGAGGAUGAACGGCCACAUUGGAACUGAGACACGGUCCAAACUCCUACGGGAGGCAGCAGUGGGGAAUAUUGCACAAUGGGGGAAACCCUGAUGCAGCGACGCCGCGUGAACGAAGAAGGUAUUCGUAUCGUAAAGUUCUGUCCUAUGGGAAGAUAAUGACAGUACCAUAGAAGAAAGCUCCGGCUAAAUACGUG
This 478-nucleotide ribosomal RNA is filed under the name uncultured bacterium. RNAcentral's name for it is "partial 16S ribosomal RNA". It matches the Rfam family "Bacterial small subunit ribosomal RNA", at positions 28 to 507 of the family's 1533-position model. The record is from RNAcentral.